Molecule: unclassified non-coding RNA, 705 nt
Filed under: Hevea brasiliensis (rubber tree)
Lineage: Eukaryota; Viridiplantae; Streptophyta; Magnoliopsida; Malpighiales; Euphorbiaceae
Source: RNAcentral
CCUAAAAUUUUGUAAAAUCUUUUUCGACAAUAAAUUCUUAAAAACAUGAGCUCGAGAGAGAGUCCUUUCCCUUGAACCCCUCCUUACUAAAAUUCUGCAAAAUCUUUUUUUUAUAAUAAAUUCUAAAAAAUAUGAAUUUAGGAGAGAGUCCUUUCCUUGAACCACAUCUUUAUAAAAUUUUGCAAAGCUUUUUACAAUAAAUUCUUAAAAAUGCGAGUUCAGGAGAGAGUUCUUUCCUUGAAUUCCCGUAGUUUCACAUUUUAUUAUGAAGCUCAUCCUUUACAAAUAUGGGAGUUCGGGAGAGAGUCCUUUUUCUUGAACUCCCUCAGUUUUACAUCUUUAUUAAGGAGCUCAUUCUUUAUAAGAUACAAGGAAUUGGGAGAGAAAAUCCCUGAUGUUGAUUUAUUUUCAUAGAAACCCUAUGAACUCUUAUUUUUAACAAAAUUUAUCAAACACAUUUCAAUGAUUGGUUCACGGAGAGUCCUUCCAAGAACCUCAAAUUUUAUAUUGGGGCCCAAUAGAGUCCUUGGAGUCCUCAUGCUAAUAUUAUGAAGGGGAGUUCUUCCUUCAGUUCGCUUUAAUCAAAUAAAAAACCAUAGUCGCAAAAAUAUUAAGUAGUUUUAAGAUGAAAUGAUGUGGGUAAAGGAUUUAUAGGUAAUUAUGCCGAUUAUGAGACCUUCCUUCAUUAACUGAGAGUCCUCAUUA